RNAcentral lists this small RNA (28 nucleotides) under Bombyx mori (domestic silkworm). RNAcentral's name for it is "piRNA piR-bmo-2020875". Lineage: Eukaryota; Metazoa; Arthropoda; Insecta; Lepidoptera; Bombycidae. The record is from RNAcentral.
UCAAGGAAUUAUUCGAGCUUCUGUGGAA